This 255-nucleotide ribosomal RNA is filed under the name uncultured bacterium. RNAcentral's name for it is "partial 16S ribosomal RNA". It matches the Rfam family "Bacterial small subunit ribosomal RNA", at positions 524 to 776 of the family's 1533-position model. The record is from RNAcentral.
UACGGGGGGGCAAGCGUUGUUCGGAAUUACUGGGCGUAAAGGGCGCGUAGGCGGUUUGCUAAGUUGAAUGUGAAAACUCUGGGCUUAACCCAGAGCCUGCAUUCAAUACUGGCAGGCUAGAGUUCUGGAGGGGAUAGCGGAAUUCCUGGUGUAGCGGUGAAAUGCGCAGAUAUCAGGAGGAACACCAAUGGCGAAGGCAGCUCGCUGGGGACGGUACUGAACGCUGGAGGCGCGAAAGCGUGGGGAGCAAACAGG